RNAcentral lists this ribosomal RNA (327 nucleotides) under uncultured eukaryote. Its description in RNAcentral is "partial 18S ribosomal RNA". It matches the Rfam family "Eukaryotic small subunit ribosomal RNA", at positions 1470 to 1796 of the family's 1831-position model. The record is from RNAcentral.
CCCUUAGAUGUUCUGGGCCGCACGCGCGCUACACUGACGAAUGCAACGAGCUUAUAACCUUGGCCGAAAGGUCUGGGUAAUCUCCAAAUUUCGUCGUGAUGGGGAUAGAUUAUUGCAAUUAUUAAUCUUCAACGAGGAAUGCCUAGUAAGCGCAAGUCAUCAGCUUGCGUUGAUUACGUCCCUGCCCUUUGUACACACCGCCCGUCGCUCCUACCGAUUGAAUGGUCCGGUGAAGCGUUCGGACCGUGGCCUUUGGACGGUGCGCCGUCUGUUGGCUGCGGGAAGUUCGUUAAACCUUAUCAUUUAGAGGAAGGAGAAGUCGUAACA